RNAcentral lists this ribosomal RNA (497 nucleotides) under uncultured bacterium. Its description in RNAcentral is "partial 16S ribosomal RNA". It matches the Rfam family "Bacterial small subunit ribosomal RNA", at positions 28 to 507 of the family's 1533-position model. The record is from RNAcentral.
GAUGAACGCUGGCGGCGUGCCUAAUACAUGCAAGUCGAGCGAACGGACGAGAAACUUGCAUCUCUGGGGUUAGCGGCGGACGGGUGAGUAACACGUGGAUAACCUACCUAUAAGACGGGGACAACUUCGGGAAACGGUAGCUAAUACCGGAUAAUAUCUUUAACCGCAAGGUUCAAGAGUGAAAGACGGUCUUGCAGUAACCAAUGGAUGUACCCCCGCGGCAUUAGCAAGUUGGUAAGGUAACGGCCAACCAAGGGAACGAUGCUUAGCCGACCGAGGAGGGUGUUCGGCCCCACUGGAACUGGGACCCGGCCCAGCCUCCUACGGGAGGCGGCAGUGGGGAAUCUUCCGCAUUGGGCGAAGGCCUGCCGGAGCACCGCCGCGUGAGGGAUGAAGGUCUUCGGAUCGUAAACCUCUGUUAUUAGGGAAGAACAUAUGUGUAAGUAACUGUGCACAUCUUGACGGUACCUAAUCAGAAAGCCACGGCUAACUACGUG